CGGGCGAGUGGCGGAAUUGGCAGACGCGCAGGCUUCAGGUGCCUGUGUCCGCAAGGACGUGGGGGUUCAAGUCCCCCUCGCCCAC
This 85-nucleotide transfer RNA is filed under the name Acidimicrobiia bacterium. RNAcentral describes it as "tRNA-Leu". It matches the Rfam family "tRNA". From Rfam's summary of the family: Transfer RNA (tRNA) molecules are approximately 80 nucleotides in length. Lineage: Bacteria; Bacillati; Actinomycetota; Acidimicrobiia. The record is from RNAcentral.